RNAcentral lists this long non-coding RNA (389 nucleotides) under Panax ginseng (ginseng). RNAcentral's name for it is "long non-coding RNA (PGIN_LNC017023)". Lineage: Eukaryota; Viridiplantae; Streptophyta; Magnoliopsida; Apiales; Araliaceae. The record is from RNAcentral.
GAUAAAAUAUCACCACAUGCCAAACAGAUUAAAUUUGCAGUUCCACCAAAAUAAUAACCAUGCAGGAAAUAAUAAGAAAAUAUCCAACCAAGAGACACCAAGAUUUUACGUGAAAAACCCUCUAAAACUAAGAGGUAAAAACCACGGGACAAACUCCGAAUAAUUCACUAGAAUAAUAUGAGAGAAUACAAAGAUAUCUUAAUUUGAGUACAAACUCAAAUUACUUCACCACAAUAAAUAUGUGAUGGAACCCAAAUAAAACACUCUUUUAUUUGAACUAUCUUUCUCUCUCUAUUUUUCUAACUCUCUUCCACCCUCUUCCGAAUGGGAUUACUUUCAUCCAUCUUUCCCAUAUGAGAUUUCUCUCACCCACUCUUUUCUUCUCUUCU